This 335-nucleotide unclassified non-coding RNA is filed under the name Hevea brasiliensis (rubber tree). The record is from RNAcentral. Lineage: Eukaryota; Viridiplantae; Streptophyta; Magnoliopsida; Malpighiales; Euphorbiaceae.
CUUAGGAUUGGAAAGGUGAAUGUGAUUGGGGAUGUUAUUCUAUGUCUGGGAAAAUUAUGUGUUAGCCUUUUGAGUGCUGUUUUUGCUUUCCUCAUGUUGGAUACCCACAAAUAUAGAUCUGCUCAUAACAAGAUAACCUCCCCGCUGUUUCCCGUAUUGGUUUGCUGGGCUCUAGGUUAUAUUGUUGCAACUCUUUUCUUUGCAGUGGUGGAGAUGUCAAUUGAUACUAUCAUUCUUUCAUUCUGCCAAGAUUCCGACGAGCACCAAGGGACUGCACAGUAUGCUCCUCCUCUUCUUAUUGAGACACUCAAUGAUCAAAAUGAGAUGCAGAGACU